This 372-nucleotide ribosomal RNA is filed under the name uncultured organism. RNAcentral's name for it is "bacterial SSU rRNA". It matches the Rfam family "Bacterial small subunit ribosomal RNA", at positions 526 to 897 of the family's 1533-position model. The record is from RNAcentral.
CGUAGGGGGCUAGCGUUGUCCGGAAUCAUUGGGCGUAAAGCGCGCGUAGGCUGCCCGAUAAGUCCGCUGUAAAAGUCAAAGGCUCAACCUUUGAAAGCCGGUGGAUACUGUCGGGCUAGAGUCCGGAAGAGGCGAGUAGAAUUCCUGGUGUAGCGGUGGAAUGCGCAGAUAUCAGGAGGAAUACCCAUAGCGAAGGCAGCUCGCUGGGACGGUACUGACGCUGAGGCGCGAAAGCGUGGGGAGCGAACAGGAUUAGAUACCCUGGUAGUCCACGCCGUAAACGAUGGGCACUAGGUGUGGGAGGUGUCGACUCCUCCCGUGCCGACGCUAACGCAUUAAGUGCCCCGCCUGGGGAUACGGCCGCAAGGCUAA